CCACGCACACUAAAAUCUCAAUGUCAGUCUUGUCACAAAGUAUUUAUCAUCCCACUUCAAUCAUCAUCUUCCUCCUACACCAAAUUGAACAAAAAUACUCUAGUCAACAUGAUUGAACAAUGCAAAAUUCUCAAGGAUUGAAAAGAGAAUUGAAUACUGUUCGGUAUAUAGACAACAAACCUCGCCACUGCCUUCCUCAUCUUCGUCAUUUACUUUUGACUUUGACUUGUCAGAAUCAUCAUCAGCACCUCCAGCCUAUUAAAAUGUUCAAAAGACAGUUUAGUAUACUGUAGUUGGCCAAUGGAACAAACAUUUAUACAAAGUUCACAUAAGCACUCUAGCAACUAGCAUAGGCAAAUCCCAAAUAGACUGCAACAAUCAAUUAUCAAUUUUCUGCUUAUUCGUUCACAAAUUGAUUUUCUUAUUGUAAUAUUUGGGUGCAGUUUAUGCAAUUAAUUCUGUUAAUAUAUCUUAAAAUAAUAUACUAAGGUAAACAUUUAUUUUCUUUACCACCAAUUUCGUUAGUCAAAUAAAUAUUCAUUUUUGUCAAUGAUAUCAGAUGAAUGCAUAUAACACACACGCACAUAUAUAAAGCCAUAUAUAUUUGAAAAGGAUUGGAAAAUAGUAGAAAGAAACAAAGCAUUAAAACAUAAAAAAAUUAUUUCUUAACUGAUUGAUUAUUCCAUACCCCACUAAAUUAAUCACUUUGGUUUUACAAAGGCAGUCUGCAAAAUAGCUGAUCCAUUCACAUCAAACGUGGUUUAUCAAAGAGCACAAGCCAUCUCAAAAAUGGUGGGUGCAAAAUCAGUGUCUAACCCUUGAUCAAACUGUGAUAAUGUCUUUAUUUCCCAUCCUGUGUAGGCACUAUCUAAUUAAGAAUAAGUGUACUAAUCAUCAACUUAAUUAUAAAUCACCACUCUGAUUCCAAUUUAAUUGUAUUUGGAUGUGAACAUUCAUAAUCUAUUAUAACAUACCUGAACUUGAGAGGCUGCAAACUGGAGGAACUAGGAACAGCGGGCAGGGUGAGGCCGGAGGUGGUGGUGGCCGCUGGAGAAACUGGUGAAGGGCGUGAAGGUUGAGGCGGCCGCUCGAGCUCUGUCUAUUUCAGGCAGUGGCUAAGUGCAGCAGAGGCUGAGCAUAGCGUCGAUGGUGAC
This 1154-nucleotide long non-coding RNA is filed under the name Salvia miltiorrhiza (redroot sage). Its description in RNAcentral is "long non-coding RNA (SMIL_LNC005769)". Lineage: Eukaryota; Viridiplantae; Streptophyta; Magnoliopsida; Lamiales; Lamiaceae. The record is from RNAcentral.